GACGAACGCUGGCGGCGUGCUUAACACAUGCAAGUCGAACGGAAAGGCCCUGCUUUUGUGGGGUGCUCGAGUGGCGAACGGGUGAGUAACACGUGAGUAACCUGCCCUUGACUUUGGGAUAACUUCAGGAAACUGGGGCUAAUACCGGAUAGGAGCUCCUGCUGCAUGGUGGGGGUUGGAAAGUUUCGGCGGUUGGGGAUGGACUCGCGGCUUAUCAGCUUGUUGGUGGGGUAGUGGCUUACCAAGGCUUUGACGGGUAGCAGGCCUGGGAGGGUGACCGGACACAUUGGGACUGAGAUACGGCACAGACUCCUACGGGAGGCAGCAGUGGGGAAUAUUGCACAAUGGGCGGAAGCCUGAUGCAGCAACGCAGCGUGCGGGAUGACGGCCUGCGGGUUGUAAACCGCUUUCGCCUGUGACGAAGCGUGAGUGACGGUAAUGGGUAAAGAAGCACCGGCUAACUACGUG
RNAcentral lists this ribosomal RNA (468 nucleotides) under uncultured bacterium. Its description in RNAcentral is "partial 16S ribosomal RNA". It matches the Rfam family "Bacterial small subunit ribosomal RNA", at positions 28 to 507 of the family's 1533-position model. The record is from RNAcentral.